Molecule: ribosomal RNA, 403 nt
Filed under: Verrucomicrobiota bacterium
Lineage: Bacteria; Pseudomonadati; Verrucomicrobiota
Description: Verrucomicrobia bacterium partial 16S ribosomal RNA
Rfam family: Bacterial small subunit ribosomal RNA
Source: RNAcentral
UGGGGAAUAUUGCACAAUGGGGGAAACCCUGAUGCAGCGACGCCGCGUGAGCGAAGAAGGCUUUCGAGUCGUAAAGCUCUGUCCUAUGAGAAGAUAAUGACGGUAUCAUAGGAGGAAGCCCUGGCUAAAUACGUGCCAGCAGCCGCGGUAAUACGUAUGGGGCGAGCGUUGUCCGGAAUUAUUGGGCGUAAAGGGUACGUAGGCGGUUUUUUAAGUCAGGUGUCAAAGCGUGGAGCUUAACUCCAUUAAGCACUUGAAACUGAAAGACUUGAGUGAAGGAGAGGAAAGUGGAAUUCCUAGUGUAGCGGUGAAAUGCGUAGAGAUUAGGAGGAACACCGGUGGCGAAAGCGGCUUUUUGGCCUGCAACUGACACUGAGGCGCGAAAGCGUGGGGAGCAAACAGG